UGGGACUCAUCCUUCUUCCCUAUUCCUUUCACUUCUCUCGAUAAUCCUAAAACAUAGCGUUAGAUCUGUUUUUCCAGUCAUGACAAUCUCACCUACGAAUGGUCCAAGGCCCGAAUGCAAUCAUCCCCAAAACGAUUCAUCAAUCUUCUUCAUCUGAUUUCACCCACGCAUCCUCUCUAGAUUACGAUCGCUGUGUGAUUCGUUACUCACAGCACGAAGCAUAAGGUGACAGAAAGGUAUAUCCGCCAUCGUUCCUUCAUCACACACACACUGUAAAUCACAUGAAUAAGAAACCAUGUUUAUGACAUAUCUACCACUGAUUAUGUGUAAUUUCAUGAAAUUACAUUUGCAUAACGAGAUUUAUCUCAAUUGGAGGCAGCGAGUUCACGAAUAACCGAGAUGAACGUAAUCGCAAGUGUUUCAGAAGGAAAGCUUAGUUAUGUUUGAAGUUCGAUCCCAAACCGUGGUACUUUGCAAAUUAAAAUCGAUACGUUGUACUUUGAUAACCAUAACUGCAGAUCUUGUGCAUAACGAGACGUGUUUUUGUCAUAUCUAAUUUAAAUUAGUCGUAAUUUCAUGGAAUUACUUGAGCAAAAACAAGGUUAUAUCUCAAUUUGAGGUACGUAGUUCAGGAAUACGUGAGUUGAAUGUGAUCGGAAAUCUCACAAGUGUUUCAGAAGGAAAUAUUGAGUACCUAAGUUCUAUGGAUACUUAGUAAUUAGCAACUUCGAUGUUGAUAACGUUGUACCUAUAAGCUAUAACCUUUUUGAGAUAAAAACGGAGAGAAUGUAUCUCUAGUAAACUGAACUUUGUUCUCACGGUUGAUGAAUGCAAAGAUGAAAAGAAGAGAAUGGAUAUUGAAUUUUGUUACACAAUAUUACAUAUGAUAGGAUAGUACACGAUGGUACUAAUGAUCACAUAGAAUGAUGCUGCUUUCCCACUAUUCCUGAAUAGCCAAAUUUUUCAUAACAGAUAUCUAUUAUGAAAGCUGAGAUCUUAGCUGUGUGUCCAGGUCAUCAUCCUCUCUGUCAAUGAGUGAUGACACAUCAAUUCCAUUCAUUUUAACAUGCCCCUUGAAGAUAUGAUGUGGUGAAUGAAUAGCAUCAAGCUUUCUUGGAAUUGAGCAAUUUGUCAAUGGCUUUGUAAGGAUGUCUGUUCUGAUUUUCUCUUUAUUAAACAUUUCUGGAAGCAACUUUUCUUCCAAUUAUCUGAGCUUCAUGUUUGUUUUACAUUGGACGAUUACAGGUGCAUGGAGCUUCCAAAUUACAUAGCUGUAUUUCUUCAGGUACAAAUUUCACCCUUAAUUACAACUUGGAAAAGAAAACCUUUUUUAUUAUGAUGAUGAUUAUUAGUAAUGUUUUGAACUUAACAUGCCUUAUAAAUUACUGUUCAAUUUGUAAUGCAAGUAUAGAAAUUGCAUAAUAAACUUGUUUUGCUCUUAUUCUCUCGUUUGGAAAUGAACCAGUAGAUGGAGAAGUUGCAGACAGAUAAUACCAAUUAACAAUGUUAUGAUAGUUUCAUAAAUAUAAACCUGUAUACAUAAUUGUAAUAACUAAUAUUUAAAUUUUACAAAUAAUCAUGCCAAAUAACCCUAUACUUAUAAAGAAUGACAAUUCACCCCUCCCCAGGGGACUUAUUCCAUCCAGAUCGUUACCAAAUCCACCUUCGUAUUAGUCGUACAUAGUCUAAAAACGGUUUAUCUGGCACUGGUAUCAACUUCACAAACCAACCAAUAGGCCAUGACAACGCUGCAAUCGCU
Molecule: long non-coding RNA, 1759 nt
Filed under: Lactuca sativa (garden lettuce)
Lineage: Eukaryota; Viridiplantae; Streptophyta; Magnoliopsida; Asterales; Asteraceae
Description: long non-coding RNA (LSAT_LNC006147)
Source: RNAcentral